Long non-coding RNA from Rhea pennata, 373 nucleotides. RefSeq lists it as uncharacterized. NCBI's taxonomy places the organism in Eukaryota, Metazoa, Chordata, Aves, Rheiformes, Rheidae. The record is from RefSeq and is a predicted model, not a curated record. The transcript is spliced from 3 exons.
CCAUUCUGCUGCUGGAGAAAAGGACCCCGAGUCAGUUUUGGGCGUUGUAGAGCAACAGUGAUGCUGGUGUCUCUGAAGGAUACCCAUGUUCUGGGUUGUAUAAACUUGUGCUGGAACUUGCUUCGUUAAGCCACUUUCAGGAACUGACUUAACCUUUGCGUAUUUUGCCUUUCAGAUACUGGCCUCUCACAGUCCCUGGUGUUACCACAAGAAUGUGAUCUUCCCAUUGAGGAUGUGAAACAGAGAAGCCUCAACAAAACUCCCGGGAGGCUCCCAGCAAUGCUGUGUUCUCCAGCCACGACACUGUGCCAGGCCUUGGGAAAACGUAUGUGUGGGCACCUUCCUGAAGGAAGUAGUACUGGAUAAAUGAACU